AACGAACGCUGGCGGCAGGCUUAACACAUGCAAGUCGAACGCUCGUAGCAAUACGGGAGUGGCAGACGGGUGAGUAACGCGUGGGAACACACCCUCCGGUUCGGAAUAACUCAGGGAAACUUGAGCUAAUACCGGAUACGGCUGAGAGGCGAAAGAUUUAUCGCCGGAGGAUUGGCCCGCGUUCGAUUAGCUUGUUGGUGAGGUAACGGCUCACCGAGGCGACGAUCGAUAGCUGGUCUGAGAGGAUGAUCAGCCACAUUGGGACUGAGACACGGCCCAAACUCCUACGGGAGGCAGCAGUGGGGAAUAUUGGACAAUGGGCGCAAGCCUGAUCCAGCCAUGCCGCGUGAGUGAUGAAGGCCCUAGGGUUGUAAAGCUCUUUUGUGCGGGAAGAUAAUGACGGUACCGCAAGAAUAAGCCCCGGCUAACUUCGUGCCAGCAGCCGCGGUAAUACGAAGGUGGCAAGCGAUACUCGGAAUCACUAGGCGUAAAGGGAGCGUAGGCGGAGCUACAAGUCAGGGGUGAAAUGCCGGAGCUCAACUUCGGAACUGCCUUUGAUACUGGAGAUCUUGAGUUCGGGAGAGGUGAGUGGAACUGCGAGUGUAGAGGUGAAAUUCGUAGAUAUUCGCAAGAACACCAGUGGCGAAGGCGGCUCACUGGCCCGAUACUGACGCUGAGGCGCGAAAGCGUGGGGAGCAAACAGGAUUAGAUACCCUGGUAGUCCACGCCGUAAACGAUGGAUGCUAGCCGUUAGGCAGCUUGCUGCUUAGUGGCGCAGCUAACGCUUUAAGCAUCCCGCCUGGGGAGUACGGUCGCAAGAUUA
This 823-nucleotide ribosomal RNA is filed under the name uncultured bacterium. RNAcentral's name for it is "bacterial SSU rRNA". It matches the Rfam family "Bacterial small subunit ribosomal RNA", at positions 28 to 896 of the family's 1533-position model. The record is from RNAcentral.